GGGGGUAAAUUUAAUAAAUAUAAAAACUAAUAAAAAGAAAUUUAUUAUUAAAAAUAUAUAAUGGGGGUUAAAGUAUUUUUAAUAGAAAAAAUUUAUAAAUUUAUAGUUUAAUAGUAUUGUAAAAGAAAAUUUAAAUAAAUGAAAAAUAAAAUUUUAAUUAAAGUAAAUUUAAUUUAUUGUAUCUUGUGUAUCAGAGUUUAUUAAAUAAAAAUUUUUGAAUAAAAAAUUCUCGAAUUUAAAAGAGUUAAUUAAUUAAAAAAGUUAAUGUUGAAUAAUUAUUUUUAAUAACUAAUUAGAAAUGAAAUGUUAAUCGUUUUUAAAUAUAUCUAGUUUUUUUAGAAAAAAAUUUAAUUUUAAAUUAAAAUAAUUUUAUAAUUAAUUAAUUAAUUAUAUAAAUUUUAUAUUCAAUAUUUUGGGGGAUAAGCUUUAAAUUAAAAAAUUAUAAUUUUUUUUUUUAAUUGAAAUUUUUAAUAUUUAUAUUGUUUAUAAAUUAUAAUUUAUUAUAAAAAAUUUUAAUUAAAUUAAAAUUUAAAUAUAAAUUUAAUUUUUUAUAAAAAAAUUAUUUUUAACAAUAAAAAAUUAGAAAUAAUGAUAAAAUUAGUAUAAUAUAAUAAAAAAAAAUAAAAUUAUUAAAAGCUAAAUUAAAGGAAUUCGGCAAAAAUUUAUAUUCACUUGUUUAUCAAAAACAUGUCUUUUUGAUUAAUAAUUUAAAGUCUAAUCUGCCCACUGAUAUUAAUUAAAGGGCUGCAGUAUAUUGACUGUACAAAGGUAGCAUAAUCAUUAGUCUUUUAAUUGGAGACUUGUAUGAAAGAUUUAAUGAAAUAUAAACUGUCUCUAUUUUAUCAAUAAAAUUUAAUAUUUUAGUUAAAAAGCUAAAAUAAAAUUAAAAGACGAGAAGACCCUAUAGAGUUUUAUAUUUUACUUUAUUGUAAUAAAAUAUAUAAUUAAUUAUUAUAAUAAAAUAAAAUAUUUCAUUGGGGUGAUGAAAAAAUUUAAUAAACUUUUUUUUUUAUUUGACAUGAAUAAGUGAUUAAAUGAUCCAUAAUUUUAUGAUUAUAAGAAAAAAUUACCUUAGGGAUAACAGCGUAAUAUUUUUUUUUAGUACAAAUAAAAAAAAAAGUUUGCGACCUCGAUGUUGGAUUAAGAUAAAAAUUAAAUGCAAAAGUUUAAAAUUUUUGAUCUGUUCGAUCAUUAAAAUCUUACAUGAUCUGAGUUCAAACCGGUGUAAGCCAGGUUGGUUUCUAUCUUUAGUGAAUUAUAAUAUUUUA
This 1268-nucleotide ribosomal RNA is filed under the name Hestina assimilis. RNAcentral describes it as "partial 16S ribosomal RNA". The stretch from base 1077 to 1236 matches the Rfam family "Eukaryotic large subunit ribosomal RNA", at positions 2825 to 2984 of the family's 3401-position model. Lineage: Eukaryota; Metazoa; Arthropoda; Insecta; Lepidoptera; Nymphalidae. The record is from RNAcentral.